GGUAGCUCCCCGGCCUCUCUCUCUCUCUCUCUCUCUCUCUCUCAGAGGUUUUGAGGACCAGGCAAAUGACCAAAAAAUCACCGAAAAGACAGGCCAUACUUCUCACAUCAAUGUCUAAAGCGGUAAAGUCACCACAAGGAGACUUCCCCCAUCACUUUUCACAUGGCAAUCCUUUCUUCUGAAUAAAUUUCCAGUAUCUGGGAAUGAUUCCAUCUUGAAGAACUGCCACAGUCUCAAAAUGAAACGGCAACACGGAGGCUCUUGCACAUCCAAACGGAACCCUACCAUUAGGCCUGAUGAGCCACCCGCUCAUGUUUAAUAUCACCUACACAGAAACGUAGCGAUAAUAGAAUGCAUCGCAAGACAGUGAGAGACAGGAAACCAAAAUGGAAGAUUAAAAAGCUUCGGAUCAAGUCACAGUUUGCACCAAUGCAAAUAACUAGCUCUAAGCAAGGAGGAACUUUAAACAUAAAAGGUGAAAAGCAGGAGUGCUAUGCAAAUGGAAUGUUUUGAAGCAAACUGGAACAUAUUGCAAUGUGCUUCUUGUUAUCUUCUCAGUUUCCCAACCAGCACCAAAGAGGAGCGAUUCCCUGCAGUAUGAAAGCUCAGCACUCUCUCCCAUCCUAUCAGAAGAUAGGAGCUGGAGAGGAGAAAGUUUCAUGUUGUUGGGUCCACAGCAGGAAAAGACCUCAGCCUCCUAUCAUCUUCCUCCCUCAGCAGGAAAAAAUGAGUAGCGGGAAAAGUCUAUGGAAUAGGGGUGUGCAUGAACAAUUUGUGCAGAACCAGUUCACCUUGAACCGGGGCUGGUUUGGUCUCAGACUGAACCAGGCCUGGUUUGGGCAAACUGGCUCUGCACGAACGGAGGUGGCAAGAGAUGUAAAAUGCGGCUUACCCUGCUGGUGCAGUUGCUGGUGCUCACCUGCCCCCACCCCGUACGGUAAGCAGUGCUUUACAUCUUUCCCCGCCCCUGCCAGGCUGUCCCUUAUCUCUCGAAGGGCCCCCCACCCUGCUGCACUUGUAAAAGGGAAUCCUCACCAGAUCACCCCUUUCGAUGGCUGAACUGGAUCUGGUCUGAAUCCU
This is a long non-coding RNA of Hemicordylus capensis (graceful crag lizard), 1080 nucleotides long. RefSeq lists it as uncharacterized. NCBI's taxonomy places the organism in Eukaryota, Metazoa, Chordata, Lepidosauria, Squamata, Cordylidae. The record is from RefSeq and is a predicted model, not a curated record. The transcript has 3 exons.